AGGACGAACGCUGGCGGCGUGCCUAACACAUGCAAGUCGAACGCGCUCCAUUCGGUAGCAAUACUGAUGAAGAGCGAGUGGCGAACGGGUGAGUAGCACGUGAGCAACCUGCCCCGAAGACUGGGACAACACCGGGAAACCGGUGCUAAUACCGGAUAUCCCUAUCGGACCGCAUGAUCUGAUAAGGAAAUGGAUUCCGCUUCGGGAGGGGCUCGCGGCCUAUCAGCUAGUUGGUGGGGUAACGGCCCACCAAGGCAUCGACGGGUAGCUGGUCUGAGAGGACGAUCAGCCACACUGGGACUGAGACACGGCCCAGACUCCUACGGGAGGCAGCAGUGGGGAAUCUUGCGCAAUGGGCGAAAGCCUGACGCAGCAACGCCGCGUGGAGGACGAAGGCUUUCUGAGUUGUAAACUCCUUUCAGCAGGGACGAUAGUGACGGUACCUGCAGAAGAAGCACCGGCCAACUACGUGCCAGCAGCCG
This 482-nucleotide ribosomal RNA is filed under the name uncultured bacterium. Its description in RNAcentral is "SSU rRNA". It matches the Rfam family "Bacterial small subunit ribosomal RNA", at positions 26 to 517 of the family's 1533-position model. The record is from RNAcentral.